AACUUGUAAAAAUUUUAGAUUUCUUAAGUUUCUCUCUCGGUCUCUCUAGGCUUCAAACAGUGGCCCUAAAACACCUUAGGGUUCUUGAGUAUUAUCCCCCUUUUCAAGUAAAAGUUUGAAGGAGAGUUUUAGUUCUUAAAGUACGAGUUUAGAGGAUAAAUUUUCAGAAACUAAGGAGGGAACUUGGUUAUCUUGGCAAAGGAUGUGGGAAGUUAUAUUAAUGAAUAGAAGAGGGGUGUGAUGGUUCACCAUUUGUGUAAAGAUUAGCACCCAAAAAGGAAGGUUGAAUCGUGGUAGUUGAAUUGGUCAGAAAAUAAGGUAUGUAAGAUUAUUCGAUUCACUAUUCUUCGGCAUGAAAUCUAGUACUUGCGAUUAAUAUCGAUAAGUGAAUUUCCUAAGUUCUAUUCCUAGUAAAGGAAACAUAGUAGCAUCGUACGAUCUCUCGAUACCUAGUGAUAUUUCCCCCUCUCCUUAGUGUAUAGAAUUACUUCAUUUUAUGUUUACUACUAUACACUUGUGUAAUUAUCCUCCCAUGUGGUGGUAUAGAAAUAGUAUUUGCAAAAGCAAGUUUGGUGAAUCCUCCUCUUAGUCAGUUGUAGUCAAUUGUUUCAUUUAAGCUCACAAGUAAUGUGUCGAUGUUACAUAGCUCCUUAUGUCAAUGUUCCUGCCUUGAAGUAUUAUUGUCAUGUCUUCUACUACUAGUUCGUAUUUCCAAAUCUCAAAAAUUAUUCUGACCACCAAAACAACAAUCUCAAAAGAGUUAUAAUAAUUAUCCAAAAAACAAUCUCAAAAAAGUUAUGAACUGAUACACAACAAUCUUAAAGAUUAAAGAACCUAAGUGAAGCAAUAUGUAUAAUUACGGGUGGCAGCCCAGGGGGUAGGGAAAAUUCCUAGCAUGGGUCGAUCCUAAUUGUUAUAUAAGGGUGUCAACUCAGGGGCGAAAGCCUAGCAUGGACCGAUCUCUAUUGGUAUCAAAAGGUGGCAGAUCAUGGGCGAAAGCUUAGCAUGGGCCGAUCCCAAUUUGUGUAAUUAUGAGGACCUCAUCCCAUGGGUUAAAAGCCUAGCAUGGGUCAUACGAUUCUACCACUGAUUAGUUGGUCAUUUGUAUCACAUGCCUUGUAAAGAUCAGAAUACACAAAAAGGUAAAAGACAAGAAUGUAACAUACAUGAUCCCACAAGAGUUAACAAAGGUGGUAUUUAUAUUCUAAUUUAUGCACACAUAUAUUGAUACUUGGUUUCAUUCGUACUCUUAUUCUAUAUAUGUUAUUGCCUUACAUAUUCAGUAUAUUUUUUUGUACUCCGCUGCAUUUCAUGCUGCAGGAAAGGUACUCCAGCCAGUAGACCUCCUCAUUAGGAGUACACGAUACUUAACUACUUUUGGUGAGAUCCAAGUUGAUUCAGAGCUUUACUGAGUCCUUGGUAGAUUCAUUUUGGUAUUGUAUCAUAGUUAAGGGUAACGCAGGGUCUGUCCCGACCUACUUUGAGGUUUCUAUCUUCUAGAGGAUUUGUAGACUUAUGUAUAUGGUUCAGUUGGUUCUUAACAAGUUGUGGCCUCAACAGCCAAGUCUUGUAUAUAACUUUUGGGUCUACUUAUGUUGGUUUUUA
Molecule: long non-coding RNA, 1605 nt
Organism: Solanum lycopersicum (tomato)
Lineage: Eukaryota; Viridiplantae; Streptophyta; Magnoliopsida; Solanales; Solanaceae
Source: RefSeq, a predicted model, not a curated record